This 434-nucleotide ribosomal RNA is filed under the name uncultured Lachnospiraceae bacterium. Its description in RNAcentral is "bacterial SSU rRNA". It matches the Rfam family "Bacterial small subunit ribosomal RNA", at positions 341 to 792 of the family's 1533-position model. Lineage: Bacteria; Bacillati; Bacillota; Clostridia; Lachnospirales; Lachnospiraceae. The record is from RNAcentral.
ACGGGAGGCAGCAGUGGGGAAUAUUGCACAAUGGGGGAAACCCUGAUGCAGCGACGCCGCGUGAGCGAAGAAGUAUUUCGGUAUGUAAAGCUCCAUCAGCAGGGAAGAAAUUGACGGUACCUGACUAAGAAGCACCGGCUAAAUACGUGCCAGCAGCCGCGGUAAUACGUAUGGUGCAAGCGUUAUCCGGAUUUACUGGGUGUAAAGGGAGCGUAGACGGAGCAGCAAGUCUGGAGUGAAAACCCGGGGCUCAACCCCGGGACUGCUUUGGAAACUGUUGUUCUAGAGUGCUGGAGAGGUAAGUGGAAUUCCUAGUGUAGCGGUGAAAUGCGUAGAUAUUAGGAGGAACACAGGUGGCGAAGGGGGCUUACUGGACGGCAACUGACGUUGAGGCUCGAAAGCGUGGGGAGCAAACAGGAUUAGAUACCCUGGUA